UAUGCAGCCCGGGCCAGAGAGUGAAGCUGCUAUGAGCUGUGCCUAUGGCUGCCUACCUCGUGGUACACAAAUGAGUUGUCACGCAUGUCAGGAUAGAGCACAUGUCAUUUGCAAGAGACAAAGAGAGAGCAACCUGAGACGACUGUCUCCUUGUACCUUUUGAUAACUACUCAACGCUGCACAGCACAGGAUUCAGCAUUCAAUCACUCUUAUUGUCAUUUCAUCUUUUAUGGGGGACGCCCCACUCUUAAUUUUUAUCACUGAAUGGCUGCUGACGUACGUAUAUAUAAGAGCACUACAACAUACGACAGGAAAGGGUCAGUAUAAUAAUUAUGUAUUGUCCCGUGAUGUAGUGUGCUAUUAUCUAUUACUUCCUCUGGUAUUCAGCCCCUUUCACGAGCACAGGAUUAUAGAUCUCCAAGCCAUUAGUAUUAAUGAUUCAUUGGAUACUGAAUUUAUAUGGAUGUAUGGAUGGGGCUAUGAUUCUUAGCCUUCCAGGCCGCAACAUAGCGUUCUGAUCGAGGAGGAGAUGAUCGGUUAUUGGCUAUUGGCUCCGGGGAUGGAGUGGAUCUACCUCUGAGAGACAAAGGGCCAGUUACUGUAUCAUGUAUGAAUAUUCUGUUGCUUGUACAUUAUUUUCGUAACAUUAUCAGUAAUUGACUGUAGAGUAGCAUCUUGAGCUCCCCUUUCUUCAUCACUCAAUCUGCAGGCAGUUUUCUGACAGGGAAGGCUACUCUAAACAGAGGGAGUCGGCCACACAAGGUAUAGUCUAAUAAUUAUUGUACGGUACUUAGAUGAUCUUCUCUGUUUUGGGUCAGAUGCAAUUGCCUUCAAUCACUAUAGCCAGUUAAUACAUUUCUUCUACUCUUGGCUUAAGAAAUUGAUUAUGUAGGUAGUUAACCGUUACACGGUAGUGGGAAAGUUCGUUAUUUGAGCCCUCGAGAAAAUAUAGUUGUUCACAUUUUAAUGCCAGGAAACCAUAGCUUUGCAUGGUGCGUGGGAGUGUCUUCCAUUUAUAUUACAUGAAGUGUGAAGUGUGUUGUAAGUUUGUACAGAGAGGACUCCCAUGGUGGCAAUGAUCUGAUGAUGGCUCCACUGCUCUGAUGGACCAAUGCAGGAGAAGUUAUUCUGUAUAAUUAUUACACUAAAUUAAUGUAUGCCACUGUUUGGAUCGGUUUCUGUUCUGCUCAGCUUCUUCCUCCAACUUGCUUACGCAGGCUAAGCUUAUUCUUAGUUCAUUCUUAGUUCAUUCUAUAGUCUAGUAUAUUGUCGGUUUGGUUGUUUUAUGUUUUUCACCUGGUCAUACGGAAUCACUUCAUUAAUUUUUAUACAGUGCAGACCACACCUCUAUCCACACAUUGUACCUGCACAUCCUGUAUAUAUGGGGCCACACCCCCACUCACUGUACUGAUAUGUGGUCACACCCCCAUACAUGGUAACCCUCUUGACCACACCCCAAUCCUAUGCUGUGUUUUUGUGUACAGUACACACAUCAUCCGUGUCUUUAUCCCCACACCUAGUCGGAGGGAGCAGCAAGUUCUACUAAGAGCCAGCAUCACCCACUAACCAACACUCUACAAGACCUACCUACUACCAGCUAGGACAGCACACCACCCGGGACAGACUCUACUAUACCCAUGUAAUACGCCUUUGUAUUACGAUCAUGAUACAAUUUGCUGCCCUCCCUCGCCAAUGGAUUGAAUAAUUAUGGACACUCGCAGGACAACUAAGAGACUGACACACAAUAAUAGACACCAAAGGCAGUGUAUGUGAUUUUCUGACAGGAAAGGCUACUCUAAACAAAGGGAGUCGGCCACACAAGGUAUAGUCUGAUAAUUAUUGUACGGUACCUUCUCUGUUUUGGGUCAGAUGCAAUUGCCUUCAAUCACUAGCCAGUUUAAAACAUUUCUUCUACUCUUGGCUUAAGAAAUUGUAUUUUAUUAUUGUACCAGCAUUAGGUAGUUAACUCCACUUAUGCAUUGACCUCUACUACUGUGUAGCGUGAAAGUUCGUUAUUUGAGCCCUCGAGAAAUGUUGUAUAGUUUCACAUUUCAAUGCCAGGAAACCAUAGCUUUGCAUGGUGCGUGGGAGUUUCUUCCAUUUGUAUUACAUGAAGUGUGUUGUAAGUUUGUAUAGAGAGGACUCCCAUGGUGGCAAUGAUCUGAUGAUGGCUCCACUGCUCUGAUGGACCAAUGCAGGAGAAGUUAUUCUGUAUAAUUAUUACACUAAAUUAAUGUAUGCCACUGUUUGGAUCGGUUUCUGUUCUGCUCAGCUUCUUCCUCCAACUUGCUUACGCAGGCUAAGCUUAUUCUUAAUCAGUUCAUUCUUAGUUCAUUCUAUAGUCUAGUAUAUUGUCGGUUUGGUUGUUUUAUGUUUUUCACCUGGUCAUACGGAAUCACUUCAUUAAUUUUUAUACAGUGCAGACCACACCUCUAUCCACACAUUGUACCUGCACAUCCUGUAUAUAUGGGGCCACACCCCCACUCACUGUACUGAUAUGUGGUCACACCCCCAUACAUGGUAACCCUCUUGACCACACCUCCACCCAUGCAUUGUGUCGUACAUGCUGUGUUUUUAUGUACAGUACAGUACACACAUCAUCCGUGUCUUUAUCCCCACACCUAGUCGGAGGGAGCAGCAAGUUCUACUAAGAGCCAGCAUCACCAACUAACCAACACACUACAAGACCUACCUACUACCAGCUAGGACAGCACACCACCCGGGACAGACUCUACUAUACCAUGUAAUAUGCCUUUGUAUUACGAUCAUGAUACAAUUUGCUGCCCUCCCUCGCCCAUGGAUUGAAUAAUUAUGGACACUCGCAGGACAACUAAGAGACUGACACACAAUAAUAGACUGUUGCUUGUACAUUUCGUAACAUUAUCAGUAAUUGACUGUAGAGGAGCAUCUUAAUUUAGCUCCCCUUUCUUCAUCACUCAAUCUGCAGGCAGUGUAUGUAAUUUUCUGACAGGAAAGGCUACUCUAAACAGAGGGAGUCGGCCACACAAGUCGGAGGGAGCAGCAAGUUCUACUAAGAGCCAGCAUCACCCACUAACCAACACUCUACAAGACCUACCUACUACCAGCUAGGACAGCACACCACCCGGGACAGACUCUACUAUACCCAUGUAAUACGCCUUUGUAUAACGAUCAUGAUACAAUUUGCUGCCCUCCCUCGCCAAUGGAUUGAAUAAUUAUGGACACUCGCAGGACAACUAAGAGACUGACACACAAUAAUAGACACCAAAGGCAGUGUAUGUGAUUUUCUGACAGGAAAGGCUACUCUAAACAAAGGGAGUCGGCCACACAAGUCGGAGGGAGCAGCAAGUUCUACUAAGAGCCAGCAUCACCAACUAACCAACACUACAAGACCUACCUACUACCAGCUAGGACAGCACACCACCCGGGACAGACUCUACUAUACCAUGUAAUACGCCUUUUUAUUACGAUCAUGAUACAAUUUGCUGCCCUCCCUUGCCCAUGGAUUGAAUAAUUAUGGACACUCGCAGGACAACUAAGAGACUGACACACAAUAAUAGACACCUAACUGCUAUUUUGCCAUUAAUAUAAUAAAAAUAAUUUUGCCAUUAA
Halichondria panicea is the source of this 3591-nucleotide long non-coding RNA. RefSeq lists it as uncharacterized. The record is from RefSeq and is a predicted model, not a curated record. NCBI's taxonomy places the organism in Eukaryota, Metazoa, Porifera, Demospongiae, Suberitida, Halichondriidae. The transcript is spliced from 6 exons.